RNAcentral lists this ribosomal RNA (1408 nucleotides) under bacterium NLAE-zl-G37. RNAcentral's name for it is "bacterial SSU rRNA". It matches the Rfam family "Bacterial small subunit ribosomal RNA". The record is from RNAcentral.
ACAGGUCGAGGGGCAGCAUUUUAGUUUGCUUGCAAACUAAAGAUGGCGACCGGCGCACGGGCUGAGCUAACACGCUAUCCAACCUGCCGAUAACUCGGGGAUAGCCUUUCGAAAGAAAGAUUAAUAUCCGAUAGUAUAUUAAAACCGCAUGGUUUUACUAUUAAAGAAUUUCGGUUAUCGAUGGGGAUGCGUUCCAUUAGUUUGUUGGCGGGGUAACGGCCCACCAAGACUACGAUGGAUAGGGGUUCUGAGAGGAAGGUCCCCCACAUUGGAACUGAGACACGGUCCAAACUCAUACGGGAGGCAGCAGUGAGGAAUAUUGGUCAAUGGACGAGAGUCUGAACCAGCCAAGUAGCGUGAAGGAUGACUGCCCUAUGGGUUGUAAACUUCUUUUAUAUGGGAAUAAAGUAUUCCACGUGUGGGAUUUUGUAUGUACCAUAUGAAUAAGGAUCGGCUAACUCCGUGCCAGCAGCCGCGGUAAUACGGAGGAUCCGAGCGUUAUCCGGAUUUAUUGGGUUUAAAGGGAGCGUAGGUGGAUUGUUAAGUCAGUUGUGAAAGUUUGCGGCUCAACCGUAAAAUUGCAGUUGAAACUGGCAGUCUUGAGUACAGUAGAGGUGGGCGGAAUUCGUGGUGUAGCGGUGAAAUGCUUAGAUAUCACGAAGAACUCCGAUUGCGAAGGCAGCUCACUAGACUGCAACUGACACUGAUGCUCGAAAGUGUGGGUAUCAAACAGGAUUAGAUACCCUGGUAGUCCACACAGUAAACGAUGAAUACUCGCUGUUUGCGAUAUACAGUAAGCGGCCAAGCGAAAGCAUUAAGUAUUCCACCUGGGGAGUACGCCGGCAACGGUGAAACUCAAAGGAAUUGACGGGGGCCCGCACAAGCGGAGGAACAUGUGGUUUAAUUCGAUGAUACGCGAGGAACCUUACCCGGGCUUAAAUUGCAUUUGAAUAAUCUGGAAACAGGUUAGCCGCAAGGCAAAUGUGAAGGUGCUGCAUGGUUGUCGUCAGCUCGUGCCGUGAGGUGUCGGCUUAAGUGCCAUAACGAGCGCAACCCUUAUCUUUAGUUACUAACAGGUCAUGCUGAGGACUCUAGAGAGACUGCCGUCGUAAGAUGUGAGGAAGGUGGGGAUGACGUCAAAUCAGCACGGCCCUUACGUCCGGGGCUACACACGUGUUACAAUGGGGGGUACAGAAGGCAGCUACCUGGCGACAGGAUGCUAAUCCCAAAAACCUCUCUCAGUUCGGAUCGAAGUCUGCAACCCGACUUCGUGAAGCUGGAUUCGCUAGUAAUCGCGCAUCAGCCAUGGCGCGGUGAAUACGUUCCCGGGCCUUGUACACCACAANCCGUCAAGCCAUGAAAGCCGGGGGUACCUGAAGUACGUAACCGCAAGGAGCUCCCUAGGUAA